CCUACGGGGUGCACCAGUGAGGAAUAUUGCACAAUGGGCGAAAGCCUGAUGCAGCGACGCCGCGUGAGGGAUGGCGGCCUUCGGGUUGUAAACCUCUUUCAGCACGAAAGAAGCGAAAGUGACGGUACGUGCAGAAGAAGCGCCGGCUAACUACGUGCCAGCAGCCGCGGUAAUACGUAGGGCGCAAGCGUUGUCCGGAAUUAUUGGGCGUAAAGAGCUCGUAGGCGGUUUGUCGCGUCUGCUGUGAAAGCCCGGGGCUUAACCCCGGGUGUGCAGUGGGUACGGGCAGACUUGAGUGCAGUAGGGGAGACUGGAAUUCCUGGUGUAGCGGUGAAAUGCGCAGAUAUCAGGAGGAACACCGAUGGCGAAGGCAGGUCUCUGGGCUGUUACUGACGCUGAAGAGCGAAAGCAUGGGGAGCGAACAGGAUUAGAUACCCUAGUAGUC
Molecule: ribosomal RNA, 445 nt
Filed under: uncultured bacterium
Lineage: Bacteria
Description: bacterial SSU rRNA
Rfam family: Bacterial small subunit ribosomal RNA
Source: RNAcentral